Molecule: ribosomal RNA, 402 nt
Filed under: uncultured bacterium
Lineage: Bacteria
Description: bacterial SSU rRNA
Rfam family: Bacterial small subunit ribosomal RNA
Source: RNAcentral
UGGGGAAUCUUGCACAAUGGGGGAAACCCUGAUGCAGCGACGCCGCGUGAACGAUGAAGCCCUUCGGGGUGUAAAGUUCUCUCGACAGGAACGAUAAUGACGGUACCUGGAGAAGAAGCUGCGGCUAACUACGUGCCAGCAGCCGCGGUAAUACGUAGGCCGCGAGCGUUGUUCGGAGUUACUGGGCGUAACGAGUGCGUAGGCGGCGAGCCAAGUUUGGUGUGAAAUCUCCCGGCUUAACCGGGAGGGUGCGCCGAAAACUGGGUGGCUGGAGUAUGGGAGAGGAAAGCGGAAUUCCUGGUGUAGCGGUGAAAUGCGUAGAUAUCAGGAGGAACACCUGCGGUGUAGACAGCUUUCUGGACCAAAACUGACGCUGAGGCACGAAAGCGUGGGUAGCAAACA